This 497-nucleotide ribosomal RNA is filed under the name uncultured bacterium. Its description in RNAcentral is "partial 16S ribosomal RNA". It matches the Rfam family "Bacterial small subunit ribosomal RNA", at positions 28 to 507 of the family's 1533-position model. The record is from RNAcentral.
GAUGAACGCUGGCGGCGUGCCUAAUACAUGCAAGUCGAGCGAACAGACGAGGAGCUUGCUCCUCUGAUGUUAGCGGCGGACGGGUGAGUAACACGUGGAUAACCUACCUAUAAGACUGGGAUAACUUCGGGAAACCGGAGCUAAUACCGGAUAAUAUAUUGAACCGCAUGGUUCAAUAGUGAAAGACGGUCUUGCUGUCACUUAUAGAUGGAUCCGCGCCGCAUUAGCUAGUUGGUAAGGUAACGGCUUACCAAGGCAACGAAGCGUAGCCGACCUGAGAGGGAGGUCGGCCACACUGGGACUGAGACACGGUCCAGAGUCCUACGGGAGGCAGGAGUAGGGAAUCUUGCGCAAUGGGCGAAAGCCUGACGGAGCAACGCCGCGUGAGUGAUGAAGGUCUUCGGAUCGUAAACCUCUGUUAUUAGGGAAGAACAAAUGUGUAAGUAACUAUGCACGUCUUGACGGUACCUAAUCAGAAAGCCACGGCUAACUACGUG